RNAcentral lists this ribosomal RNA (238 nucleotides) under uncultured bacterium. RNAcentral describes it as "partial 16S ribosomal RNA". It matches the Rfam family "Bacterial small subunit ribosomal RNA", at positions 96 to 334 of the family's 1533-position model. The record is from RNAcentral.
UGGCGAACGGGUGAGUAACGCGUGAGGAACCUGCCUCAAAGAGGGGGACAACAGUUGGAAACGACUGCUAAUACCGCAUAAGACCACAGCACCGCAUGGUGCGGGGGUAAAAACUCCGGUGGUAUGAGAUGGACCCGCGUCUGAUUAGCUAGUUGGUAAGGUAACGGCUUACCAAGGCGACGAUCAGUAGCCGACCUGAGAGGGUGACCGGCCACAUUGGGACUGAGACACGGCCCAA